This 422-nucleotide ribosomal RNA is filed under the name uncultured bacterium. RNAcentral's name for it is "bacterial SSU rRNA". It matches the Rfam family "Bacterial small subunit ribosomal RNA", at positions 355 to 774 of the family's 1533-position model. The record is from RNAcentral.
UGAGGAAUAUUGGUCAAUGGGGGCAACCCUGAACCAGCCAAGUCGCGUGAAGGAUGAAGGUCUUAUGGAUUGUAAACUUCUUUUACACGGGAAUAAAGUGGGGGACGUGUCCCCCUUUGCAUGUACCGUGUGAAUAAGGAUCGGCUAACUCCGUGCCAGCGGCCGCGGUAAUACGGAGGAUCCGAGCGUUAUCCGGAUUUAUUGGGUUUAAAGGGUGCGCAGGCGGGAUGUUAAGUCGGCGGUGAAAUUUCGCAGCUCAACUGUAAAAGUGCCUUCGAUACUGGCCUCCUUGAGUGUGGAUGAAGUAGGCGGAAUUUGUGGUGUAGCGGUGAAAUGCUUAGAUAUCACGAGGAACUCCGAUUGCGCAGGCAGCUUACUAAGCCACAACUGACGCUCAUGCACGAAGGCGUGGGGAUCAAACA